This 67-nucleotide transfer RNA is filed under the name Ernolatia moorei. RNAcentral describes it as "tRNA-His". Lineage: Eukaryota; Metazoa; Arthropoda; Insecta; Lepidoptera; Bombycidae. The record is from RNAcentral.
AUUUAAAUAAUUUAAUAAAAAUAUUGAUUUGUGGAAUCAAAAAUAUGAUAAGAAAUCAUUUUAAAUU